RNAcentral lists this ribosomal RNA (398 nucleotides) under uncultured bacterium. RNAcentral's name for it is "bacterial SSU rRNA". It matches the Rfam family "Bacterial small subunit ribosomal RNA", at positions 355 to 770 of the family's 1533-position model. The record is from RNAcentral.
UAGGGAAUAUUAGAAAUGGACGAAAGUCUGAUCUAGCAACACCGCGUGUGCGAAGAAGGCCUUCGGGUCGUAAAGCACUUUUUGGAAGGAAUAGGAAGGAAUGUACUUCCAGAAUAAGUCUCGGCUAACUACGUGCCAGCAGCCGCGGUAACACGUAGGAGGCAAACGUUAUCCGGAUUUACUGGGCGUAGAGCGCGUGUAGGUGGUACUGUAAGUAGGGCGUGAAAGCUCCUGGCUCAACUGGGAGAGGCCGUUCUAAACUACAGAACUAGAGGAUGGUAGAGGGAGGGGGAAUUCCAGGUGUAGGGGUGGAAUGCGCAGAUAUCUGGAGGAACACCGGUGGCGAAGGCGGCCUCCUGGACCAUGCCUGACACUCAGACGCGAAAGCUAGGGUAGCA